This 113-nucleotide small RNA is filed under the name Marmota monax (woodchuck). The record is from RNAcentral. Lineage: Eukaryota; Metazoa; Chordata; Mammalia; Rodentia; Sciuridae.
GCUGGGUUUGGUGGCACAUGCCUGUAAUCCCAGCUGCUCAGGAGGCUGAGGCAGGAGGAUCAUGAGUUCAAAGCCAGCUUCAGCAAAAGCAUCUCAGUGAGACCCUGUCUCUA